CGCGGCCUAUCAGCUUGUUGGUGGGGUAAUGGCCCACCAAGGCGACGACGGGUAGCCGGCCUGAGAGGGCGACCGGCCACACUGGGACUGAGACACGGCCCAGACUCCUACGGGAGGCAGCAGUGGGGAAUAUUGCACAAUGGGCGAAAGCCUGAUGCAGCGACGCCGCGUGAGGGAUGACGGCCUUCGGGUUGUAAACCUCUUUCAGCAGGGAAGAAGCGAAAGUGACGGUACCUGCAGAAGAAGCGCCGGCUAACUACGUGCCAGCAGCCGCGGUAAUACGUAGGGCGCAAGCGUUGUCCGGAAUUAUUGGGCGUAAAGAGCUCGUAGGCGGCUUGUCACGUCGGGUGUGAAAGCCCGGGGCUUAACCCCGGGUCUGCAUCCGAUACGGGCAGGCUAGAGUGAUGUAGGGGAGACUGGAAUUCCUGGUGUAGCGGUGAAAUGCGCAGAUAUCAGGAGGAACACCGAUGGCGAAGGCAGGUCUCUGGGCAUUAACGGACGCUGAGGAGCGAAAGCAUGGGGAGCGAACAGGAUUAGAUACCCUGGUAGUCCAUGCCGUAAACGUUGGGCACUAGGUGUGGGGGACAUUCCACGUUUUCCGCGCCGUAGCUAACGCAUUAAGUGCCCCGCCUGGGGAGUACGG
This 643-nucleotide ribosomal RNA is filed under the name uncultured Actinomycetes bacterium. RNAcentral's name for it is "bacterial SSU rRNA". It matches the Rfam family "Bacterial small subunit ribosomal RNA", at positions 232 to 885 of the family's 1533-position model. The record is from RNAcentral. Lineage: Bacteria; Bacillati; Actinomycetota; Actinomycetes.